GUGCCAGCCGCCGCGGUAAUACGGAAGGUCCGGGCGUUAUCCGGAUUUAUUGGGUUUAAAGGGAGCGCAGCCGGGUUUUAAGCGUGCUGUGAAAUGUACCGGCUCAACCGGUGACGUGCAGCGCGAACUGGAGCCCUUGAGUGAGUACGACGUCAGCGGAAUUCGUGGUGUAGCGGUGAAAUGCUUAGAUAUCACGAAGAACCCCGAUUGCGAAGGCAGCUGGCGAGUCCUUAACUGACGCUAAAGCUCGAAAGUGCGGGUAUCGAACAGGAUUAGAUACCCUGGUAGUCCGCACGGUAAACGAUGGAUGCCCGCUGUUGGCGAUAUAGUGUCAGCGGCCAAGAGAAAUCGUUAAGCAUCCCACCUGGGGAGUACGCCGGCAACGGUGAAACUCAAAGGAAUUGACGGGGGCCCGCACAAGCGGAGGAACAUGUGGUUUAAUUCGAUGAUACGCGAGGAACCUUACCCGGGCUUGAACUGCAGAGGAAGGAUUGAGAGAUCAUGACGCCCUUCGGGGCCUCUGUGGAGGUGCUGCAUGGUUGUCGUCAGCUCGUGCCGUGAGGUGUCGGCUUAAGUGCCAUAACGAGCGCAACCCCUUUCGUCAGUUGCCAUCAGGUAGAGCUGGGCACUCUGGCGACACUGCCACCGUAAGGUGCGAGGAAGGUGGGGAUGACGUCAAAUCAGCACGGCCCUUACGUCCGGGGCUACACACGUGUUACAAUGGGUGGUACAGAGAGUCAGUCCAAUGCAAAUUGGAUUCAAUCAGUAAAGCCAUCCUCAGUUCGGAUUGGGUCUGCAACCCGACCCCAUGAAGCUGGAUUCGCUAGUAAUCGCGCAUCAGCCAUGGCGCGGUGAAUACGUUCCCGGGCCUUGUACACACCGCCCGU
RNAcentral lists this ribosomal RNA (887 nucleotides) under uncultured bacterium. RNAcentral describes it as "bacterial SSU rRNA". It matches the Rfam family "Bacterial small subunit ribosomal RNA", at positions 505 to 1397 of the family's 1533-position model. The record is from RNAcentral.